This 1029-nucleotide long non-coding RNA is filed under the name Eptatretus burgeri (inshore hagfish). RNAcentral's name for it is "lncRNA (ENSEBUG00000017219.1)". Lineage: Eukaryota; Metazoa; Chordata; Myxini; Myxiniformes; Myxinidae. The record is from RNAcentral.
UCUGUAUGUCUCUCCUCUCACCUCUCAACCUUCAUAUUCCCCCAAUCUGUGUUUAUUUGCCUUAUCAAUAUAUGUACUGUACAUUGUGCAAAACACUAGAAUGUGUCAAGAGAAUGAAAAAAAAAAACCACUAAAUAUCUUUCAGUACGAGUUAUUAUAUCAGCCAGUGACAGCAUGCAACAAUGUGUAAAUCCCUCCCCUUUCCAGAUGCCUCUCCCUCUUUCCUCCCAUCGCUUUCCGCUCCCUUCUCACAACCCAGCUUGUGGAGAGAGACAGAGAGAGAGAGAGAGAGAGAAGAAAGAGAGAGACAGAGAUGUAUGUACUGUAUAUGUAUAUAUGUAUAACAUAAAUAACAUAGCUUUGUUUGUGUGGCCGAGGAUGGUGAUCUGCAAUCUACAGACAUCACCGAGCGUUCCACAUUUCAAUUCCUGCUUUGCACUAGCAUCUGUGUGUCUCACGCCGCGCUCGCGGAUCGGAAUGCUGCACACGUACCCUACCGGACUACGCGAAGGGCUUACAGACCCUCUGCAUGCACGUACUUCCUCGGAAUUCCAAGUUUAUGAAUGAUGAUCGAAAGAUGGACGUUUACACCAACAUGCCUCAUCAGCUUAAGAGAUGAGGGAACUCUCAACAUUUCCAGGUUUUGCUGCUGAAGCUUUUCUUUCUGAGCAAGAGGGAGUGCCUGCUGAGUCAGAACGGCUUCUCGGACAGACAACUCCAUCUGUGAAAGCAAUUGCUGCAGAAUCUUCAAUCCUUUUGUCACAGCUAGCACAGUCGACUUUGACCAUCUUUACAAAUGAAUACCUCACCUCAUCUGCACCUUGGCAGCUUCUUCUGACCCUGAAGACGUGUCGAGCUCGCAAGAUAUCGUUGGUGCAUCUGGAGGGAGUGGGACUCGAUGUGAACCCCCUUCUUUGUCACCGGAGACAUGAUCUGUCGCAGGGGGCGGGGCAGGGUCCAAGACAUCAUUGUGAAAGAUACACUUUUCGUUCGAUCAUUCACAAAAUGGCCACCACGGCCAACUGCUGA